CCGCCUUUCAUCCUUCUUCAAGUCACAGAGAGACAGAGAGGAGGGGACGAAGGACGAGCCAUGGGGUUUUGAAAGCAGGCACAGCAGCAGGGGUGCUGCCUCCAGGGGUCUGCUCUGCCAAGAGUUCCUGUCCCAGGGCCUGCUCUCUGUCAUGUGAUGCUAUACUACAGCCAGGCUGGAAUUUGGUGUCUUAUUGCUACAAAGAAUCAGCUUUGUCAAUCCUAAGGUCACUGAGAGGCUGCCAGAGGGCCAUUUUCAUGACCAGAGGGAUCUGUUCAACACCCUGUGGGUCCCAGCACCUAUCUCAGGAAGCAGGGUGCAUCUGUCCACCACCAAGUCUCAGGGUGGCUGGGUGAGCGCUCAUCAGUCCCAGACAGCAGGUUGGCACAAAACGACACUGCCCACAAAACCACAGGAAGAAGAGAAACUCCGACUGUCUUUCAGCACACAGAAGACACUGUACUGGACCCGGACAUUAGGCAGACACCCACGCCUGACUUUCAGGAGAAAAGAGAACAUGACUAACGGAUAUUCUUAGUAGAUGGUUUAUUAGAAAAGAGAACAUCUUCCAGCAUGUGUCCUGGGGUGAUGGGUGUGGGAAGCACUCAGUCCAUAGUCCUGGUCCCUGGCUUCCCCAAGCCCAGCACCAUGAAUGUACAGUGGAAAGCAGAGGGUGCAGCGUCUCAGAAAGAUGCUUCCACUCACAAGGAUUGGAGCUCACAAGUGAGCUCCAUAACCUGCAAACCAGAGAAACCUGAGACACUGCCCCUUGGCCAUUUUAUCAACGGAGACUUUAUUGUGAUUAUCCCGGCAGGGGGCCGAGCUCUCCUCUCUGCAACAGGAAAUGCUCUUUAGUGAAAAUGCAGCAUUUCUCCAAGGGUAACAAAGCUGAACGCCUGCUUAGCUUAUGAACCCUCAGUUGGCCUAGGUGGUGCAAAGACCCUGCUGUUACUGCUUUGAUCAUCAGUACUGUGGACUGUACCAGGAGAUCCCUGGGAAUGUGCUCUGGGCGGAAGCAGCUUUUAUCUUUGGCCCUCACCCAUGCUUUAUAUGGUGAGGUUGGGAAAAUGGCACAAGGCUUCUCCUGAACCUCAAAUCAACACCCUUGCCCCAUUUAGAUCCUAUCUGGCUGUUUCUUGCUAAUAUUACUGCAUCACUGCACCAUCUUUCCUAUUUCAGCAAAGUGGAGUCAUGUGUGGUUUAUGGGGUAGAUGGACCCCAAAACUGAUAAUAUGAAUCAAGCUAUGGUGUUUACUCCCUAGGAAAUGCACAAUUUUUCUGGAAACCUACAGAAGCUUCAAAUGCAUUCGCCAUGCAAAGCUAAGUCAGCAGAACAACCCGUUUGGCUUUGGAGGCUAGUUCAGUUCCGCGGACAGGGAGAAAGAUGAGGCAGACUGUGGUUUUUCAGUUCCUGGAGCUUACGGAGCUCCAAAGCUCCCUCUCUUCCCACCCUGGCUGCACUGUUCUUAAUUUUAGAUAAUACCCUGCCUUCUCGUAUUGCUGCUGAGCUCCUAGCAUCCUCAGUUUAUCUGUCUGUGAAAUGAAAAAUCUAAUGUUAAAUUUUUUACCUAUGGCAUGAGAGAGAUGGCUAUGGCUCUUGUGAGCCUCUCUGCAGCCCCUCUUUUCCUUCAAUCACCCUCUGUCUCUCCUGCCUUCUGCUUAUUCUCUCUCUCCCCUCAUCCCCACUUUCCCAGUGGGUCCUCUGUUCUCUUUUUUUUUUUCUUUUUAAAUCUCUCUAUGCCUCCAGCCGAGAAGAUAAAGAGUGUACAUCUUUCUGGUUAAAAAGUUUUGCUUUGCAGAAACACAGCCAAUUUAUGAUUCUGGCCUUCCCAGCUAGGGACAGUGUUCAUUUACAUUUAGGACCAUGAGGAGAGAGGCUUAGCUGUGUGUUUCUGAGGCCGGAGAAAAUUACAGUGAUAUAUAACAGUGCUGCACUCAUAGAGGUGCUGAGCCGGGGUUGGGCUCAGGCGGCCGCUAAGCUCAGAGUGGAAAGUUUCAGAGGGGAGGCAGAAAGGAGAGGUCUAUAGCUCCUCCAGAUUCUAGGUAUUAAUUUACUAAGAUAUUCCUAAGCCAGAAAACAGAGACAGAAGACAAAGAGAAAGAGGGAAGAAGAGCAAGACAGAGAGUUAGAGAGAGACAAAGAGAGAGAGUUAGAGACAAAGAGAGAGUGGAGAGGAGAGAGAGCAAAUAUUGAAAGGAAAAGGAAAAAGAAAGAAACCUGACAGC
Molecule: long non-coding RNA, 2226 nt
Filed under: Homo sapiens (human)
Lineage: Eukaryota; Metazoa; Chordata; Mammalia; Primates; Hominidae
Description: HSALNT0330888
Source: RNAcentral